This 253-nucleotide ribosomal RNA is filed under the name uncultured bacterium. Its description in RNAcentral is "partial 16S ribosomal RNA". It matches the Rfam family "Bacterial small subunit ribosomal RNA", at positions 524 to 776 of the family's 1533-position model. The record is from RNAcentral.
GACGAACCGUGCGAACGUUGUUCGGAAUCACUGGGCUUAAAGGGCGCGUAGGCGGCGUGACAAGUCACUUGUGAAAUCUCUGAGCUUAACUCAGAACGGCCAAGUGAAACUGUUGUGCUAGAGUGCAGAAGGGGCAAUCGGAAUUCUUGGUGUAGCGGUGAAAUGCGUAGAUAUCAAGAGGAACACCUGAGGUGAAGACGGGUUGCUGGGCUGACACUGACGCUGAGGCGCGAAAGCCAGGGGAGCAAACGGG